GGUCAGCGACUUAUAUUCUGUAGCAAGGUUAACCGAAUAGGGGAGCCGAAGGGAAACCGAGUCUUAACUGGGCGUUAAGUUGCAGGGUAUAGACCCGAAACCCGGUGAUCUAGCCAUGGGCAGGUUGAAGGUUGGGUAACACUAACUGGAGGACCGAACCGACUAAUGUUGAAAAAUUAGCGGAUGACUUGUGGCUGGGGGUGAAAGGCCAAUCAAACCGGGAGAUAGCUGGUUCUCCCCGAAAGCUAUUUAGGUAGCGCCUCGUGAAUUCAUCUCCGGGGGUAGAGCACUGUUUCGGCAAGGGGGUCAUCCCGACUUACCAACCCGAUGCAAACUGCGAAUACCGGAGAAUGUUAUCACGGGAGACACACGGCGGGUGCUAACGUCCGUCGUGAAGAGGGAAACAACCCAGACCGCCAGCUAAGGUCCCAAAGUCAUGGUUAAGUGGGAAACGAUGUGGGAAGGCCCAGACAGCCAGGAUGUUGGCUUAGAAGCAGCCAUCAUUUAAAGAAAGCGUAAUAGCUCACUGGUCGAGUCGGCCUGCGCGGAAGAUGUAACGGGGCUAAACCAUGCACCGAAGCUGCGGCAGCGACACUAUGUGUUGUUGGGUAGGGGAGCGUUCUGUAAGCCUGCGAAGGUGUACUGUGAGGUAUGCUGGAGGUAUCAGAAGUGCGAAUGCUGACAUAAGUAACGAUAAAGCGGGUGAAAAGCCCGCUCGCCGGAAGACCAAGGGUUCCUGUCCAACGUUAAUCGGGGCAGGGUGAGUCGACCCCUAAGGCGAGGCCGAAAGGCGUAGUCGAUGGGAAACAGGUUAAUAUUCCUGUACUUGGUGUUACUGCGAAGGGGGGACGGAGAAGGCUAUGUUGGCCGGGCGACGGUUGUCCCGGUUUAAGCGUGUAGGCUGGUUUUCCAGGCAAAUCCGGAAAAUCAAGGCUGAGGCGUGAUGACGAGGCACUACGGUGCUGAAGCAACAAAUGCCCUGCUUCCAGGAAAAGCCUCUAAGCAUCAGGUAACAUCAAAUCGUACCCCAAACCGACACAGGUGGUCAGGUAGAGAAUACCAAGGCGCUUGAGAGAACUCGGGUGAAGGAACUAGGCAAAAUGGUGCCGUAACUUCGGGAGAAGGCACGCUGAUAUGUAGGUGAAGCGACUUGCUCGUGGAGCUGAAAUCAGUCGAAGAUACCAGCUGGCUGCAACUGUUUAUUAAAAACACAGCACUGUGCAAACACGAAAGUGGACGUAUACGGUGUGACGCCUGCCCGGUGCCGGAAGGUUAAUUGAUGGGGUUAGCGGUAACGCGAAGCUCUUGAUCGAAGCCCCGGUAAACGGCGGCCGUAACUAUAACGGUCCUAAGGUAGCGAAAUUCCUUGUCGGGUAAGUUCCGACCUGCACGAAUGGCGUAAUGAUGGCCAGGCUGUCUCCACCCGAGACUCAGUGAAAUUGAACUCGCUGUGAAGAUGCAGUGUACCCGCGGCAAGACGGAAAGACCCCGUGAACCUUUACUAUAGCUUGACACUGAACAUUGAGCCUUGAUGUGUAGGAUAGGUGGGAGGCUUUGAAGUGUGG
RNAcentral lists this ribosomal RNA (1565 nucleotides) under Staphylococcus aureus. RNAcentral describes it as "partial 23S ribosomal RNA". It matches the Rfam family "Bacterial large subunit ribosomal RNA", at positions 618 to 2167 of the family's 2925-position model. Lineage: Bacteria; Bacillati; Bacillota; Bacilli; Caryophanales; Staphylococcaceae. The record is from RNAcentral.